UGCUCCCUGCGGUGUUUGUUAAGGCCAUAAUUCCUUGAACCAAUGCUGAUUGGCAUCGGUUGCUGACCACGAUGUCGCUGUUGUGCGCGUUCCCCGCGAACGCACCUGAUGCGAAAGGGAGGCAGCCACUCUGAACUCCGGUUCAGGAUGCCGGCCUGACGGCACCCGCGGGGACUUU
This 178-nucleotide non-coding RNA is filed under the name Rhodocyclaceae bacterium. RNAcentral describes it as "6S RNA". It matches the Rfam family "6S / SsrS RNA". Rfam says of the family: E. coli 6S RNA was the first non coding RNA to be sequenced, but its function was unknown until recently. It consists of 184 nucleotides that fold into an extended hairpin structure with a large single-stranded internal bulge. Lineage: Bacteria; Pseudomonadati; Pseudomonadota; Betaproteobacteria; Rhodocyclales; Rhodocyclaceae. The record is from RNAcentral.